This 824-nucleotide long non-coding RNA is filed under the name Homo sapiens (human). RNAcentral's name for it is "HSALNT0195251". Lineage: Eukaryota; Metazoa; Chordata; Mammalia; Primates; Hominidae. The record is from RNAcentral.
GCGGAAUGCAGGCCGGUGUGUGAGGUGAUUGUAACCAGAAACGCCUAGGCAGGCAUCUCGCUUCUGUCCUGAGCGGCCGCUGGCAGGCAGCCGGACCGGGAGCCGGGAGCCGGUCCGAGGUGCCCUGACUCGCCGCUGACCGCCCCUCCUGGGCCGCGCCGAUAGCUUAUCGGGUCCACUCUGGGGGCGCCCAGUGCUACAACCGGAAACGCGGCUGGAGGCCAGUGGAUGCUUGAUGGAGCAGUUCGCGCCGUGGUGCGCGCGCGCCAGGGCUUAGGCUCCAAGUAAAGGCCUUCUUCAUCCAUCCACCCACAACCAGGGGGCCUCAUAAGACCUGUUGAGGGGCCCUGCAACACUGUAUACAGAAUCGCCUAUUUAAAAAAAUACACCCAAAAUACAAUUUUGAGACCAGCAUCCAGGCUCUGAAGACCUGUGACAGCCAUCCAUGGAGUCAUGUUAAGAACCUCCACUCCAACUAACCCAAAGCUCACAGCCCUGGAGGAGAAGAAGCCUGUUUGGGGAAUUCUACCUUGGCUCCAUGUCUCUGAAGAGGCUUGUCCCAGGGAAUAUAAUGGGAUCCUCGCUCACACACAACCCAACAGCCGACCCACAAUGGCACACCUCCCAGUUAUUGCCUUAGUCCGGCAAACCCCUGGCUAAGCAUCCACAGCCGAGCUGAGGGCAGUGAGAAAAGUUCAAGUCGCCAGCUGAAGUGGUCUUUAACACCCCCCCCCCGGCCUUCUCAGCCUCACUGUUUAUCCAUAUGAAGCGCUCUCCUUCCCGGCCCACUUCCACCCCCACCUUUCUGAGAUCGGCUAUAAAAA